AGGACGAACGCUGGCGGCGUGCUUAACACAUGCAAGUCGAGCGGUAAGGCCUUUCGGGGUACACGAGCGGCGAACGGGUGAGUAACACGUGGGUGAUCUGCCCUGCACUCUGGGAUAAGCCUGGGAAACUGGGUCUAAUACCGGAUAUGACCUGCUCUCGCAGUGGGGGUGGGUGGAAAGAUUUAUCGGGUGCAGGAUCGGGCCCGCGGCCUAUCAGCUUGGUUGGUGGGUAAUGGCCUACCGAAGGCGACGACGGGUA
This 259-nucleotide ribosomal RNA is filed under the name uncultured soil bacterium. Its description in RNAcentral is "partial 16S ribosomal RNA". It matches the Rfam family "Bacterial small subunit ribosomal RNA", at positions 26 to 285 of the family's 1533-position model. The record is from RNAcentral.